AUUUCAGUACAAAUGUUUUGCUGUAAAAGACUGUCACUAGAGGAGUUUUUAUUGUAAUUUAAACAAUUUUAUUGCAUCUUUUAAUUAGAUUGCAAGAUAUCUUGAUAAAAGCUGGAUUUUCAUGGAUGGAUAGAUCAAUAGCAUCUAUUCUCUAGUUUUGCUGUUCUUCUGGUUAUCAUCUUCUGCUACUUGAAAUUUAUAUAUUUAUUUCUUUGUGAGUAGGUGGAAUCGUAUUUGCGGAUUAUUGGAGAGCCAAAGAUUCCUUAAGUAUUUCUUCAAGUUCUUUACUGGUCUUAGGGGAGUAUGGCGCUGCAGAUGGAAAGUUUUCUGCUUCCUACAGUACUGGAAAAUUAUUUGAUGUUGCAGAGGCAUAUUCAAAUGAUGAAACUGUUAAGAUAUAUACAUCUUUAACAACAUGUGGAAGUGAUUUAAACAGCUAUCAACAUAGAAAUUAACAAACUGCAUAUUGUAUCGUCUUGUUUGCCCA
Long non-coding RNA from Pistacia vera, 487 nucleotides. RefSeq lists it as uncharacterized. The transcript is spliced from 3 exons. Lineage: Eukaryota; Viridiplantae; Streptophyta; Magnoliopsida; Sapindales; Anacardiaceae. The record is from RefSeq and is a predicted model, not a curated record.